RNAcentral lists this ribosomal RNA (508 nucleotides) under uncultured Glomeraceae. RNAcentral's name for it is "SSU rRNA". It matches the Rfam family "Eukaryotic small subunit ribosomal RNA", at positions 569 to 1078 of the family's 1831-position model. Lineage: Eukaryota; Fungi; Glomeromycota; Glomeromycetes; Glomerales; Glomeraceae. The record is from RNAcentral.
AGCAGCCGCGGUAAUUCCAGCUCCAAUAGCGUAUAUUAAAGUUGUUGCAGUUAAAAAGCUCGUAGUUGAAUUUCGGGGUUAGUAGGUUGGUCAUGCCUCUGGUAUGUACUGGUCUCACUGAUUCCUCCUUCCUGAUGAACCUUAAUGCCAUUUAUUUGGUGCUUUGGGGAAUUUGGACUGUUACUUUGAAAAAAUUAGAGUGUUUAAAGCAAGCUAACGCUUGAAUACAUUAGCAUGGAAUAAUGAAAUAGGACGUUCGAUCCUAUUUUGUUGGUUUCUAGGAUUGACGUAAUGAUUAAUAGGGAUAGUUGGGGGCAUUAGUAUUCAAUUGUCAGAGGUGAAAUUCUUGGAUUUAUUGAAGACUAACUACUGCGAAAGCAUUUGCCAAGGAUGUUUUCAUUAAUCAAGAACGAAAGUUAGGGGAUCGAAGACGAUCAGAUACCGUCGUAGUCUUAACCAUAAACUAUGCCGACUAGGGAUCGGAUGAUGUUAACUUUUUAAUGACUCA